ACCCGCUGAACUUAAGCAUAUCAAUAAGCGGAGGAAAAGAAACUAACAAGGAUUCCCCUAGUAACUGCGAGUGAAGAGGGAAAAGCUCAAAUUUAAAAUCUGGCAGCCUUUGGUUGUCCGAGUUGUAAAUUAGAGAAGCGCUACCCGCGUUGGCCUGUGCAAAAGUCUCUAGGAAUGGAGCAUCAUAGAGGGUGACAAUCCCGUCUUUGGCACAGACUACCAGGGCAUUGUGGUACGCUCUCAAAGAGUCGAGUUGUUUGGGAAUGCAGCUCUAAGUGGGUGGUAAAUUCCAUCUAAAGCUAAAUAUUGGCGAGAAACCGAUAGCGAACAAGUACCGUGAGGGAAAGAUGAAAAGAACUUUGAAAAGAGAGUUAAACAGUACGUGAAAUUGUUGAAAGGGAAACGCUUGGAGUCAGUCGUGUCUCGUGGAAAUCAACCUGACCUUGGUUGGGUGUACUUUCUGCUGGACAGGUCAGCAUCAAUUUUGAUCGUUGGAUAAAGACUUGAGGAAUGUGGCAACUUGUUUGUGUUAUAGCCUCUUGUUCAGAUACAAUGGUUGGGAUUGAGGAACUCAGUGUGACUUCGGUUUGGCCCUCGGGUACAUCCCACACUUAGGAUGCUGGCAUAAUGGCUUUAAUCGACCCGUCUUGAAACACGG
RNAcentral lists this ribosomal RNA (658 nucleotides) under uncultured fungus. RNAcentral's name for it is "eukaryotic LSU rRNA". It matches the Rfam family "Eukaryotic large subunit ribosomal RNA", at positions 23 to 664 of the family's 3401-position model. Lineage: Eukaryota; Fungi. The record is from RNAcentral.